This 494-nucleotide ribosomal RNA is filed under the name uncultured bacterium. Its description in RNAcentral is "partial 16S ribosomal RNA". It matches the Rfam family "Bacterial small subunit ribosomal RNA", at positions 28 to 507 of the family's 1533-position model. The record is from RNAcentral.
GACGAACGCUGGCGGCGUGCUUAACACAUGCAAGUCGAACGGUGAAGCGCCUUCCUUUUUGGUGGGUGUGGAUGAGUGGCGAACGGGUGAGUAACACGUGAGUAACCUGCCCCCUUCUUCUGGAUAACCGCAUGAAAGUGUGGCUAAUACGGGAUAUUCUGGGUCUGUCGCAUGAUGGGUCUGGGAAAGAUAUUGUUUCGGUGGGGGAUGGGCUCGCGGCCUAUCAGCUUGUUGGUGGGGUGAUGGCCUACCAAGGCGGUGACGGGUAGCCGGCCUGAGAGGGUGGACGGUCACACUGGGACUGAGACACGGCCCAGACUCCUACGGGAGGCAGCAGUGGGGAAUAUUGCACAAUGGGCGCAAGCCCGAUGCAGCGACGCCGCGUGAGGGAUGGAGGCCCGCGGGUUGUGAACCUCUUUCGCCAGUGAAGCAGGCCUGCCUCGUUUGUGGGUGGGUUGACGGUAGCUGGAUAAGAAGCGCCGGCUAACUACGUG